This 252-nucleotide ribosomal RNA is filed under the name uncultured bacterium. RNAcentral describes it as "partial 16S ribosomal RNA". It matches the Rfam family "Bacterial small subunit ribosomal RNA", at positions 28 to 253 of the family's 1533-position model. The record is from RNAcentral.
GACGAACGCUGGCGGCGCGCCUAACACAUGCAAGUCGAACGGAGCUAUUUCGAUAGAUCUCUUCGGAGUGACAUUGGCUUAGCUUAGUGGCGAACGGGUGAGUAACACGUGAGGAACCUGCCUUUCAGAGGGGGACAACCAGUUGGGAAACGACUGCUAAAUACCGCAUAAGACCACGAUACGGCAUACGUAUUGAGGUCAAAGGUAGCAAAUCCGCUGAAAGAUGGCCUCGCGUCCGAUUAGCUAGAUGGU